AAGUCUUUGACAAACUGGGUAUUUUCUGCCCGGUCAUGUGCUUCCUUGGUCCCUUCCUUCAGGAGCUCAGAAAGGUCUGCCAUUCUGUGGGAGAUGAAUUUUGGGUGAGACAGUAGCCCUUUCCAGUUCUCCAGAAAAGACUAAAAGGCCCACGAUGGAGCCAGGAAACAGGAGCUGCUCAGACACUAUUCCAGUCCAAUGUGAGUAACUGAGCCUGUCAGUGAGCACAGGGCAAGAUAGGACAAUCUGACACAAGAACUCAGUGGACAAGACACUUACUCUGGUCUCCUCAAGAGUGCCUGCAUUGGUAUCUGUUAGCAAGCACCCAAAUAAAUGACGCUUUGCUUUGUAGCCACCUAGUGGCUGAAGAACCAAUACUUAAUCUAUCCCAGAAAGAGCUGCCUUCCUCCCAGAUGAUAUGUGGAUGGGCCUAGUUGUGGGAAGAUGAGAUAGUUGAGAGACAGACCAAGAUCUUGGUUGGUUUCUUUUUCUUUUUGUCUUUGAGACGGGGUUUCUGUGUAGCUCUGGCUGUCCUGGAACUCACUCUGUAGACCAGGAUGGCCUUGAACUCAGAGAUCCACCUGCUUCUGCCUCCCAGUUUUGUAUUUAACAGAAUUACACAGGAUAAAGUUACAUCAAUAAAUGGAUAAGGAAGAAAAAUAUCAUCAUAAGGACAAUGGAACCUAGGAAGGCUCCUGUGUAUUCACACACUCCAUCUGUUAGAAUGAGAAAAAUCUGGUUCUCUUGUGGUCUAGUCUCUAUAGUAUUUUAUUUUUUUAGGAAAUUAUUCUGUAUCACCCCACAUCCUAAGAACUGGUUUAUUAGCAAAUAUAGUAAGAUAUAGGAAAUGACUUAGCCAAUGACAGGACUCUAAUGAGAAGCUAAGGAACUUGUGCAGCAGGGCCCUUAGUGCUGACGACCAUUCCCUUGUCGCAUCAGACUGAACCAAGCACGAUGACAGGGGUGAGGACAGGUGCUGAGCGAGGCCUCCUGACAGGCAGCAGCCAGCUGCCGUCACUCACUUGGUAUGGUUUUCCUUUUCUGGUGCCGUAGAGUUGUUCUCUGACUCAUCGACGCCCUCCGAGGUCUCCACCUCUGAAGACAUUGUUGCUGAGUUGUUUGUGCUGCCCUCACUUCGGUCCUGUACAGACACAAGGAACUGAUGACUGCAUAACCUUUUCUCAUUUAAGCCAAUAUAACAGACACCCCUGCACCUCAAAAUUCUGCCAUUGCGGGAGCAUUUCAGAACAUGGACAGAUCUGAAGAUGGACAGGGGGUUAUAAUAAUGCUUUUGUUCUUGGGCAAUACACACUGGCAUUUGGAAGUACAUGGGAUGCUGUCUGCAACUACUGUCAGCACGUAAGCUGUAUGUGGGGAUGUGAGGCAAGACAAAAGUGCCGACAGUCUGGCUAAAAGGGGUACAGAAGUUCUUUGCACUAGACUUACCUUUUUUUCUGCGUGUUUGAGAUUAUAUAUAAAUAAAAAGCUACCAAAGAUAU
Molecule: long non-coding RNA, 1499 nt
Filed under: Rattus norvegicus (Norway rat)
Lineage: Eukaryota; Metazoa; Chordata; Mammalia; Rodentia; Muridae
Description: long non-coding RNA NONRATT004012
Source: RNAcentral